Molecule: ribosomal RNA, 191 nt
Filed under: uncultured bacterium
Lineage: Bacteria
Description: partial 16S ribosomal RNA
Rfam family: Bacterial small subunit ribosomal RNA
Source: RNAcentral
AACCCGCCUGUAUGAAGUUGGAAUCGCUAGUAAUCGCGGAUCAGCAUGCCGCGGUGAAUACGUUCCCGGGCCUUGUACACACCGCCCGUCACACCAUGAGAGUCGGGAACACCCGAAGUCCGUAGCCUAACCGCAAGGGGGCGCGGCCGAAGGUGGGUUCGAUAAUUGGGGUGAAGUCGUAACAAGGUAAC